This 270-nucleotide ribosomal RNA is filed under the name uncultured bacterium. RNAcentral's name for it is "partial 16S ribosomal RNA". It matches the Rfam family "Bacterial small subunit ribosomal RNA", at positions 29 to 320 of the family's 1533-position model. The record is from RNAcentral.
AGCGAACGCUGGCGGCAUGCUUAACACAUGCAAGUCGCACGGACGGGGGCAACUCCGUUAGUGGCGGACGGGUGAGUAACGCGUAGGUAUCUAUCCUUGGGUGGGGGACAACCACGGGAAACUGUGGCUAAUACCGCAUGACGACUGAGGUCCAAAGGCGCAAGUCGCCUGGGGAGGAGCCUGCGUCCGAUUAGCUUGUUGGUGGGGUAAUGGCCUACCAAGGCUCCGAUCGGUAGCUGGUCUGAGAGGAUGAUCAGCCACACUGGGACU